This 397-nucleotide ribosomal RNA is filed under the name uncultured bacterium. RNAcentral's name for it is "bacterial SSU rRNA". It matches the Rfam family "Bacterial small subunit ribosomal RNA", at positions 29 to 416 of the family's 1533-position model. The record is from RNAcentral.
AACGAACGCUGGCGGCGCGCCUAACACAUGCAAGUCGAACGAGAAUCCGGGGCAACCCGGUAGUAAAGUGGCAAACGGGUGAGGAAUACAUGGGUAACCUACCCUUGAGAAGGGAAUAACCCGCCGAAAGGUGAGCUAAUACCCUAUACGCUAUCUUUUUUUCGAAAAGGAUAGGAAAGCCGGGUCGAGGACCUGGUACUCAAGGAGGGGCUCAUGUCCUAUCAGCUUGUUGGUGGGGUAACGGCCUACCAAGGCUACGACGGGUAGCUGGUCUGAGAGGAUGAUCAGCCACACUGGCACUGAGAUACGGGCCAGACUCCUACGGGAGGCAGCAGUGAGGAAUAUUGCGCAAUGGGCGCAAGCCUGAUCCAGCCAUGCCGCGUGAGUGAAGAAGGCC